GCAGGGAACAGCAGUGGCUGGCGGGAGGAGGCAGCAGAGGAAAAGACAGGCUCAGAAACUGCAUAGCCUGGCCCUAGAAGUAUGCCUAGUUUGCCUAUGCAUUAAUCCAGCCCUGGGUUGCAGCUGAGGUUCUGGGGCAUCCUGGGCUUGCCUACCACACUCUCAUAGCUCAAAGUCCCAAACCAGGAGAGCAGGUGCAGCCAGGGCAUCAGGAGAAUCAGCACCAGCAGGGCACGGUGGCUCAGGCACCCCUCUGCCUUUACAAACAGCUCAUCGUACAUCACUCAAGGCAUAUGAAGCAGCAGGAUGCUUGGGAUGCAGCAGCAGCCAGGGCCAACAUCUGAACGUGGGGGAGAGCCCACCAGCCCCAGCAGGGAUGCUGCCUCAGUGUUGCCAUCACCCACUGCUGAGGCCCUCUGCAUGCACCACCUGCGCCAGCAGUGCACACAAGUUCAGACCCUCCUGGUCCAGCAAAUGGUGGUGGUGACCAAGGAGCGGGAGGUGCAGAAGCAGGCAUAGGAGGCACAGGAGCAGGUGUGGAAGGAGCAGGAGCUGGCCUGGCAGCAGGAGGGCAUUGUCCAGGAGACCACCUGAAAGGAUGCAUGGGCCCAGGCCCAACUGAAGUAGUGGGCAUGGAUGGAGGCCCAGGAGUUGGGACCAUGUUGAGCUGCUCUGGCAGCAGGUGGGCCUCCAGACCCAGGCAUUGGAGGCUGCAGAUGCUGACAGCUGGGCCCUAAACACCCUCCUGAGUCUGGUGGCAGUGUAUUUGCUCCUCACUACCCAGCCCCUGUCUGGGGCCCAGCAGGGCCCAUGGGUUCCACCUGCUGCCCUGCAGCAAGGCCCCACCUGGCCCAAGGAGGAGGCCGUCCAGUGCCUUCUGGCUGCUGUAACUCCUGGCCAGGCCCCCACCCCGGGUCUCAUGCCACCCACCUGGAACCAGCCCCACUGCUCAUCCCAAGGCCAUGCAGCCAAUGAACCAGAGGGGCCAGGUGCAGGACCACAGAGGUAUGCUGACCCUGGACUCUGACAAGCAGAGGGGGACCCAGAGCUGCAGAGGGAAUGGCCCAAGGCUGGGGGGCUGGGCACCUGCCCCUGGGCUCUGUCCCCUAGCCCCCCCACCCCACCCCGUGGCCCCCUAUUCUGGGACCAAAAGACUGAGACUGAUGUAAAUAGUUUGCACUUUAGAAAGCAGGUUUUUUAUUGGUGAUGAGUGGAGAGGAUGGUAGAAGGGCACUGUGUGUUGG
Long non-coding RNA from Alligator mississippiensis (American alligator), 1244 nucleotides. RefSeq lists it as uncharacterized. Lineage: Eukaryota; Metazoa; Chordata; Crocodylia; Alligatoridae. The transcript is spliced from 3 exons. The record is from RefSeq and is a predicted model, not a curated record.